RNAcentral lists this ribosomal RNA (450 nucleotides) under uncultured bacterium. Its description in RNAcentral is "SSU rRNA". It matches the Rfam family "Bacterial small subunit ribosomal RNA", at positions 26 to 518 of the family's 1533-position model. The record is from RNAcentral.
AGGAUGAACGCUGGCGGUGUGCCUAAUACAUGCAAGUCGAACGGGAUCUUCGGAUCUAGUGGCGGACGGGUGAGUAACACGUUGGUACCUACCCCUAAGUGGGGAAUAACUGCCCGAAAGGGUGGCUAAUACCGCAUAAUCCCGCAAGGGUAAAGCAGUAAUGCGCUUAGGGAGGGGCCUGCGUCUGAUUAGCUAGUUGGUAGGGUAAUGGCCUACCAAGGCGACGAUCAGUAGCUGGAUCGAGAGGUUGACCAGCCACACUGGGACUGAGAUACGGCCCAGACUCCUACGGGAGGCAGCAGUAAGGAAUCUUCCACAAUGGACGAAAGUCUGAUUGGAGCAACACCGCGUGCAGGAUGACGGUCUUCGGAUUGUAAACUGCUUUUAUAUGGAAGAUUAUGACGGUACCAUAUGAAUAAGGUACCGGCUAACUACGUAGCCAGCAGCCGC